RNAcentral lists this long non-coding RNA (2750 nucleotides) under Olea europaea (common olive). Its description in RNAcentral is "long non-coding RNA (OEUR_LNC007877)". Lineage: Eukaryota; Viridiplantae; Streptophyta; Magnoliopsida; Lamiales; Oleaceae. The record is from RNAcentral.
AAGAAUUCAAAUAAUAGGAGAAUCCCCUAUAUUUAAUGAGCAGUUACAAAAGCAAUUUCAAAAUAUUAACAAUUGUAAUUGUAAUUUUUUUCUCUCGCAAUAUAAUAAUUCAGUCUUAGCAAUCUAGCAAUAUCAGAUUCGUAAAUGGAAAACUAAUUUCAAUUUCCAUUGAUGACUGGAAGCUUCUUCACGAGAGAAUUUUGUAGGCCAUGAGCAGAAAUGCUUGGAAAAGGUAUGGAGCCCAACAGCUUUCGUCCCCUUGAAAAUUGUUGAGAUAAGAAAAACUUGUCAUCAUCAUCUGCAGCUUCACAGUGAGAUGUGCAAAGUAGCAGCAGCACCCCAAGGAAAAGCAGAAGCAUCGUCCCUCUCAAUGCAGCCAUUUUUCCGAUCAAGAAGCAAUCAUAUAUUUUCUUUUAUUAUUUUCUGAUAUAAUCGUGUAAUGCUGCUUAUAUAUGAGAGGGAAGGGUGGAUUUUUACUAUAUUAAGGUAUCCAAGUUUGGACCGUCAGUAUCUCGGAUGGUUAGAAAUGAGCAGUUCAGGAACGCCAUCCAGUGACCUGUUAAACCCUAUAAUUUAGACCUUGGGGCUGUAAAUUGUGCCAAGUAACAGAAAUUCUAGUUGUUAAAAAGUUUCCCUACAUCGUGACUUCAUCACUUUUCAUAUUGAUACCUAUUUGAUAGCCAAUGGACAUUUUCACCAAGCCAAAACCAACAUCAAUCUAUCUACCUGGUCUUAUAAAAAUGGAGGAGCAUUUUUCUUUCUUUAAUCAAUUAUACCCUUAUCAACAAUUUCUAAUUAAUUAUUCGUCCUUCAAUUGAUACCAUCGAACCACUUGAUCUAAAAUCUACUAUUAGAAAUAACUAGAUGUAUAAAUUUUGAGAAUUCAUUUUUCCAUUAAAGUCUUCACGCAUAAAGUUUUCGAUAAAUGCGUAAUAACAAGACUUAAAUAUAUGAGAUAUACCAUGUUAAGAAUUAUGAAUUAAUAGAUUGAGACAAAACAAAUGAUUAAGUUGAGAAGAUGUAUAGUAUUUAUGUCUACGAAGCACAAUUGAGAAUGCAUAAAUAGUGUAAAACACUAAAACUAGCAUACGAGGAAAGAUUCUAUAUCGAUUCCAUAAUCAAAGUACUAUGGUAAUAAUCUAUGACAAUUAAAAUAUAUGACAAUAUCACGAAAAUAUGAAAAAUAUAAUUAGCAUCCCAUCAAACAACAAAAACACAUGCAUGCGAAUAAGGGUAGAUUAAAGACUAAUCGAAAUCAUGGUGCGUGCAUAAUAAUGUGCAAAUCACAACUUAAUUGAAAUGUAGAAAAUGCACAAAAAAAUAAAAAAUAAUAAAAAAUAAUAAUAAUAAUAAUUGAGGGAGAUAAUAUAAAGCGUGUUGACUACUGGAAAAGGAUAAUAAGAGUUAUUAGCUACUUGAGAUAUUUUCGUAGCUAUGGACUGCACUAUAUCAGAUAUCCAACAUUCGUUGAAGGAUGUAAUGAUGCUAAUUAGAUAUCUUAUGUAAAAGACACAAAAUUUACAAGUGAAUAUGUGUUUACAUUAGGAGAUGCAGCUAUAUAAUCAAAAUCCUCUAAACAAUAGUUACAACUAGAUUUACCUUGGAAUCUAAGUUUAUAGCCUUGUAUAAACGUGGUGAAGAAGUUGAGUGGCUACAAAAGUUUUUAUAGGAUAUUCCAAGAUGGGCACAAAGCAACAUGUACGAUAAUAAGUCUAUACAUAUACAUCCUAUACAUAUACUACAGGGCAACUACUCUCCAUCGGGAUUAUCUCUAUAUACUAUGUUAGAUCAAAGGAUAACAUUAUGGAUUUGCUAAUCAAAUGGUUAAAUAGAGAAUUAGUUGGAAAGACAUCGAAAUGAAUUGGACAUAUGCCCUUGAGCAAAUGAGUUAAUACAAUGAAAAACCAACUUUGUUGAUUGAAGAUCUUGAGAUCUAGGUUAAAACAAACAAUUGACUUAAUUGAAUCACUAUGGGGGAUAAUAUACCUUGUCCAUCCCUAUGAUGUAAUAAUGAUACCCAUAAGGAUGAAGAAUAAGCAACAUGAUUUGAAUUAUACUUAUGCGUUGAAAAUCAAGCGAAGUAAUGUGGGUUAUUUAUAAUAAGAAAUCAAAUAUGUGAGAGAGAAGGUUCACUUCCAAGAGAAUUGUGUGAGGCUCAAUUUUUAGAAAGUCUCGCAAAACUAAGCAUAUGCUCAUGAUUAUAAACAAACAUAACAAUUAGAGCUAAAUUUUACUGAGAAGAAUCCUAUGUGGAGUGUAACAUCAUUUACGUAUAAAAUAGAACAAUUUAAAUGUCUAUUGUUUAGUCAUAAUGGACGAUUCAAAGGAUAAUGUCUACCUAUACCAUAUAGGUUUAAACUAUUGAACUUUAUCAUCAAAUCAUUAUGUUCUCAUUUCUAUGACUCAAUUUCUCCUGAUACAUUCUUUUGGCGUGGAUUUACAUGUUGUUAAUAGAUCGAUAAGAGUAACUUUCUAUUUAACCAAAAAUUUGAUUUUGACCAUCUUUUUAAUAUUUUAAAACAGGGCAAAAGCGUAAUUUUCUAUUUAUCACAUUAAAUAAUUACAUUUAUUAAAUUAAAAAUUAAAAAAUAAGAAAAAAAUAAACAUGCAACUGCAUUCACGCUUGCGUUGGUGUCUGCAACUCCACCACCGGAAGAAUGGGGAAACGAAUAUCUAGCACCAACUGCUAUAAAUUAUAAUCGCGGCCAUAUACCUAGGGUCUUGCUUAUUCUACCCCAACCGAACUAAAG